Molecule: ribosomal RNA, 253 nt
Filed under: uncultured bacterium
Lineage: Bacteria
Description: partial 16S ribosomal RNA
Rfam family: Bacterial small subunit ribosomal RNA
Source: RNAcentral
GACGGAGGAUGCAAGUGUUCUCCGGAAUCACUGGGCGUAAAGCGUCUGUAGGUGGUUUAAUAAGUCAACUGUUAAAUCUUGAGGCUCAACCUCAAAAUCGCAGUCGAAACUAUUAGGCUAGAGUAUAGUAGGGGUAAAGGGAAUUUCCAGUGGAGCGGUGAAAUGCGUAGAGAUUGGAAAGAACACCGAUGGCGAAGGCACUUUACUGGGCUAUUACUAACACUCAGAGACGAAAGCUAGGGUAGCAAAUGGG